Long non-coding RNA from Macaca mulatta (Rhesus monkey), 1741 nucleotides. RefSeq lists it as uncharacterized. The record is from RefSeq and is a predicted model, not a curated record. Lineage: Eukaryota; Metazoa; Chordata; Mammalia; Primates; Cercopithecidae.
UCUCUUUUUUUGUAUCCUUUUCCCAUGACUUCUUUACUGUCUCUUCCCCAAUCAGUAUUUCAUUAUCUAUCUAUGACUAUCUGUCUGUAACAUCCAUCUAUCUAUGACUCAAUCCUGGGCUGAACUAUAUACUCACCACAUAGAUUCUGCAAUUAAUAUUCUGCUGUAUUUGUUUUUUGUAUAUGUCUAUCUACGCUUGUAUACAUCCAUCGAUCCAUCUUAUUUUUUGAUGCUUUUCAAAUAAGUGGCAGGCAUCAGUACUCUUCACCUCUACGGUGAAUUUUGACAAAUGCGUACAAUCAUUAUCCCUGAAGGUGUCCUUAGGCCCCUUCCUAGUUAAGUCUACCCCCAAACCCCAAGGUGAACACUAUUCUGAUUUUUUCCCACCAUAGAUUAGUUUUGCCUGUUUUAGAACUUCAUAUAAAUGAAAUUGUACACGGUGUAAUCUUUUGUGUUCAGCUUCUUUCAUUAGCAAAAUAUUUUCGAGCACCUGUGUUGUUGUAAGGGUCCUCAUUUUAAAACUAAUAAUUUGACAAGAUCUUUGCAAACUGAUCUUUACCUUAAAAAGCUGGACUUCUCUGAUGUGUACAUAAAUAUAGUAACCACUUUUAAAUUAAAUAGCCUAAAUACAGUAGCCACUUGAACUAAGCCUCUGAAACAGACAUCUCUUUCAUGUGUCUGUCAGACCUUGUCUUUUUGUUUUCAUGCUCCCCACAUCCCCCUACCUUGUUUAGCAUUGAUAAAUAUUUCAAAACUGCAGAGGAAAUUUAUCGUAUUUGUCUCAUGGGCACAGAGCUUUUGAUUUACUGUGUUCAGUAAGAUGUAGGGGGCUAACCAAGCUCUUAGGAUUAACUGCAUCUGACUGUCCUUCAAAAGGUCAUCAGCAGUACAUCCUUAGUAGGCCUCACAAUAAUGUGUCCACACUACAGGUUAGUGGGAGUGAUUGAAAGGCUUGACGAGUUGUCCUGGAUUUGCUCUGGUGGGGCGAUCAGAGUCCAUAGCACUGGGUGGGAAAACAUGAAAGAAAAUAAGUGAAAGUGACGUAUUCCUCCAGAAUAGCUAAAGGUCAGUGCUCACCCCAUUCAGCCACUGUAUUCCCUAGACUUAGCAUGACGCGGUUGUUUCUAAAAAUUAACGCCACACUUAGCGUGGUAAUGUGGCUUUGUACUAAGGCCACCUAGCUAAGCCGGAACUACGUUUCCCAGAAUUCCCUUGCCUGUAGGUUUCCGGGGUUAGCGCAGGCCACGUGACCUGAUGCGUGCUUUGUGAGGCGGAAGUGAUGCAGCGUUGUCGUCUCGUAGGCUUGAAAGUUUGGUUCCAGGAUCUACACUCCUCCACCAUAGUCAGGAGAUUCAGGAAAAGCUGGCAGGGUUCAGCUUUCAAGUUGACCCUUGACGAACCAUGGCCAAUCCUGCUAAGAGUCAUGAAAGUCAAUCCUAACCAAUGAGACCGAGGAGAAAUCACUGAAGAACUUGUGGAAAACAGGCCCUCUGGAUAAAGAGAAAUGUGUGGGGAAAAAGGAUUUUUUUAAUGUUAUUCUGGAUGUUUCCCAAAAGUACUGCUGCUGCCUUGCCUUUCUGACAGACACUGGCUUUGGAUGACAUGCCGCAAGAAGGAAGGACGGAUCUGGGGUUUUUGAAGACUCACUGAGAUGCGCAAGGAACCAACCCUGAAGUAGCCAACUCAUUCCUGUUUGCAUGUGUUGACUGAAAAGAAUCAAAAUAAACAAAAUAUAACUUUA